RNAcentral lists this antisense RNA (321 nucleotides) under Enterococcus phoeniculicola ATCC BAA-412. RNAcentral describes it as "Listeria sRNA rliD". It matches the Rfam family "Listeria sRNA rliD". Lineage: Bacteria; Bacillati; Bacillota; Bacilli; Lactobacillales; Enterococcaceae. The record is from Rfam by way of RNAcentral.
CAGUUAAUGGGAAAAAGUCAAAAUCUCUUGCAUCCUUAGAUGCUACAGCAGCUGUUAAAACAACUGUAUCUCCAUAACGCACAAGUACCGCUCCAUUUGCUUGUUUUGCUAGCUGACCAAUUUCGACUUGUAGAGGACGUCCGCCCCAAUUUGUUUUAAAUACUUGUUUUUCUGACAUGUAUAGCUCCUUUUUGCCUUGUGAAAAGUAAGACGCUACUAAACAAAUGAAAACUCCUAAAUGAACUUAGACUCUUUCAUUUGGUUAGUAGAAGCCCGACAAACUUUUCAUAGGCGGUUUUUUUGAAGCGUAAGGUGCUUCUG